RNAcentral lists this long non-coding RNA (1967 nucleotides) under Populus trichocarpa (black cottonwood). Its description in RNAcentral is "long non-coding RNA (PTRI_LNC002873)". Lineage: Eukaryota; Viridiplantae; Streptophyta; Magnoliopsida; Malpighiales; Salicaceae. The record is from RNAcentral.
GGCACUUCAGUUUUUGCAUGGCCUUGGUCUUAUACACUGUGAUUUGAAGCCUGAGAAUAUAUUGGUGAAAAGCUAUAGUAGAUGUGAGGUGAAAGUCAUUGAUCUUGGGAGUAGCUGUUUUGAGACAGAUCAUCUGUGCUCCUAUGUUCAAUCCAGGUCGUAUCGUGCACCAGAAGUUAUCCUAGGACUUCCGUAUGAUAAGAAGAUAGAUGUUUGGUCACUUGGCUGCAUUUUGGCAGAGCUUUGCACUGGCAAUGUAAGUUUUUCCCAUUACUAAUUUACCCAAUAAGUUUCAUGCCCUGGAGGAAAUUGUAAGAAUAGCAGGGGCGUGGUGCUAUGUAUUUGUUGUCUAUGCAUCUGUUUAUCUCAUUGUCUUUGUACAACUUUUGUAGUCUUUUCUUCCUUUCCUUUCUAUUUGGUUUUUUUAACUAAGCCAAGGUGCUCCAUAUGCAUGCAGAGGUAGAGUUCCAUAUAAUUUCCCAAUCAAUGAGUGAAUGCACAAGUUACUUUGAGUAUGAAAGAGAUUUCUUCAUAAACAUUUUGGAUCCCUUUCUUUCGCUGAAAAUUACUGAUUUGUCACAUAAAUAUGUGGGAGAGUUAUCCAUGAGGAAAUAUGCCAAAGCAACCAUACAUGGAGUUUUAUUUUAAUUUCCCAACUUAUGGAGAAUGCAUAAAGACUACUUGCUGAAGAAUGAUAUCACACGCAUGCAUAUAAUUACUAGGACUUGUCAUAUAAAACUGAAGAAUAUAUUCCUUGAGGGACUUGGCCAAAAGACAGUGGUCAUUGUGUUUUAUGAAUUGAGAUGGUUUUGUGUGAAGAUAGUUUGUCAAACGUACUUUGUGAGGUGAAAACCUUGUAGAGCUUUUUAGGGAGCAGAACAUAGUAUACGUGACUAAGUUAGAAAAGGUUUUGUUUAGACCAUUAGUUUUGGAGAUUUGGGAAGCUAGAGAGUAUGUUUCAAGGUGAAAAGGUUGGGAUAUGAGAACAUAGUUCUGAAAUGCAAAAGAUAGGAAAGAACAAUGGAAUUAAUGCUGACAAGCAGGUGCAGCUGAGGUUCUGAAAAUCACAUAGAGAGAGAGAGAGAGAGAGAGCUAUAUUUCUUCCUAAAUUUCUUCUUCUUUUUAUGGCUGCAUACAUAUUUUUGGUAUUCUUAUCAAUUUAAAUGUCACCCUCAUAUUGAUGUUGUGAUGCAUUUAUUUAUUUAUUCUGUCCAUGGGGGAAACAUCUUUAUAUUCUGAUCAAUUGAACCUCAACAUAUAUUUCUUUCAGAGAUAUACUUGAGUAGUUUCUGUAAGGGCUAAUCGAUCUGGAGAUCUUUUCUUCUGCUUGAACAAUUUUCUAACACCAUUUGAAGCGAGGAUGCUUUGGACCUUCCAUAAUUUGGUUUCCUAGCUGUUUCCGUGGUACCAUUUGGCUAAAAUGAAACUUCUGUUUCAGGUCCUAUUCCAAAAUGAUUCACCAGCAACGUUACUUGCACGAGUUAUUGGAAUUAUAGGUCCCAUUGAUCAAAACAUGCUAGCAAAGGGACGAGAUACAUACAAGUAUUUUACCAAGAAUCACAUGCUUUAUGAGCGAAAUCAGGUAAACAUUCUUUUGUUUCGCUACUUCUCUAUUGCUCCUCGUAUGAAAUUAAUUGUGCGUAUCCCCUCUGUCCGGUGAUGUAGUUGCUUGUAGUUUUUAGAGUUCAAAAAUUACUAUUAGGAUGUCAAACUUUAAAUCUGGAUAUGAUAUGUUUGGUUUGUGCUAAUAUUUUAUAUUCUCUCUAAUCUUCAGGAUACUAGCAGGCUGGAGUACCUGAUACCUAAGAAGACAUCCCUGAGGCACCGUUUGCCAAUGGGGGACCAGGGCUUCAUUGACUUUGUUUCUCAUUUGCUUGAAGUAAACCCAAAGAAACGCCCUUCUGCAUCUGAGGCUCUGAAGCACCCAUGGCUAUCAUACCCUUAUGAGCCCAUAUCAGCUUGAACUG